This 397-nucleotide ribosomal RNA is filed under the name Pseudochapsa esslingeri. RNAcentral describes it as "LSU rRNA". It matches the Rfam family "Eukaryotic large subunit ribosomal RNA", at positions 602 to 958 of the family's 3401-position model. Lineage: Eukaryota; Fungi; Ascomycota; Lecanoromycetes; Ostropales; Graphidaceae. The record is from RNAcentral.
AUUCAUUGCGUUUAUGCUAGGAUGUUGGCUUAAUGGUUACUAGCGACCCGUCGUGAAACACGGAUCAAGGAGUCGAUCAGUCACGCGAGCGUUCGAGUAUUAAAACUCUUACGCGUAAUUAAAGUGAACGUAGGUAGGAGCUUCGGCGCACUAUCGACCGGUCUGAGUUCGCGAGGAUCUGAGUAAGAGUGUGGAUGAUCGGACCCGAAAGUCAGUAUUUUCCCGUUUAACUUUCAUGAAAGCUUUUUGUGCUAACAGUUUUUUAGGAAGAUGAACUAUUCCUGACUAGGGUGAAGCCAGAGGAAACUCUGGUGGAGGCUCGCAGCGGUUCUGACGUGCAAAUCGAUCGUCAAAGCUGGGAAUAGGGGCGAAAGACUAAUCGAUCUUUUUGGGUUAU